Molecule: ribosomal RNA, 489 nt
Filed under: uncultured bacterium
Lineage: Bacteria
Description: partial 16S ribosomal RNA
Rfam family: Bacterial small subunit ribosomal RNA
Source: RNAcentral
UUGAACGCUGGCGGCAGGCCUAACACCUGCAAGUCGAACGGUAACAGGAAGCAGCUUGCUGCUUCGCUGACGAGUGGCGGACGGGUGAGUAAUGUCUGGGAAGCUGCCUGAUGGAGGGGGAUAACUACUGGAAACGGUAGCUAAUACCGCAUAAUGUCGCAAGACCAAAGAGGGGGACCUUCGGGCCUCUUGCCAUCGGAUGUGCCCAGAUGGGAUUAGCUUGUUGGUGGGGUAACGGCUCACCAAGGCGACGAUCCCUAGCUGGUCUGAGAGGAUGACCAGCCACACUGGAACUGAGACACGGUCCAGACUCCUACGGGAGGCAGCAGUGGGGAAUAUUGCACAAUGGGCGCAAGCCUGAUGCAGCCAUGCCGCGUGUAUGAAGAAGGCCUUCGGGUUGUAAAGUACUUUCAGCGGGGAGGAAGGGAGUAAAGUUAAUACCUUUGCUCAUUGACGUUACCCGCAGAAGAAGCACCGGCUAACUCCGUG